CCCUAGCCGCGAUUGGAGCAAUUGUUUGAGCUCAUUUUUUUGAUUUCUGGCGGCGCGGCAAAGCCGCGCCGCCAGAAAUCAAAAAAAUAGCGAGUGCGGAAAGCGCGAAAUAGC
Molecule: unclassified non-coding RNA, 114 nt
Filed under: Chryseobacterium arachidis
Lineage: Bacteria; Pseudomonadati; Bacteroidota; Flavobacteriia; Flavobacteriales; Weeksellaceae
Description: Flavo-1 RNA
Source: RNAcentral